CGACAAUCUCCGAAGUACCGUUUCCGCUUCAAAAUUUCUGGACGUUCGGAUUCAUAAUUAAUAUCGCCAUCUUAGAUUACUUAAGCAAUCUCAUCGUCGAAGUUUUGUGGAGAAAGUGAUAAAACUGCGUAUUCUGGACAUACUGCCAACACAGGUCUUCAAUACUUCUAGAAAUUAUUCAACAGUCGUUUGCCCGACCAACUCAGGUGAAGAACAAAUGAACAUCCCAAUGAAACACUUUAUAAGCAUGUUGGUGACGGUGAUGUUGUUCACACUCAAUAUGGUGCAAUGUUGUCUAGACUUUGAUCACGAAGCCUGCACGAACUCCGAUGGCAGUCCUGCCGAGUGUGCCGAAGGACAGACGUCUUGCGGGAUUGAAGCAGGAUGCGAGUGUGUGAGCAUUCUCAAAAGAGGAAAGUGGCGCAAUUUCUGUGGCGUAUGCUAUGAUGACAAUGGCUUAUAACUAAUUGCAAUAAAAAUGAAAUAACUGUCCAGGUAUAACUGGCUUAGAGCGCUUUAACUGAAUUGUUUGUUCAAACUCAGCUGCCAAAAACAAAUGACAUCCAUUAGUACAAAACAAUGCCAAUCGCAGCAGCAACUGUCCAAAAGAUACUUGACUUGAAGCAAAUCUAAUUCGAA
Molecule: long non-coding RNA, 639 nt
Organism: Symsagittifera roscoffensis
Lineage: Eukaryota; Metazoa; Xenacoelomorpha; Acoela; Convolutidae
Exons: 4
Source: RefSeq, a predicted model, not a curated record